This 1722-nucleotide long non-coding RNA is filed under the name Monodelphis domestica (gray short-tailed opossum). RNAcentral describes it as "lncRNA (ENSMODG00000038530.1)". Lineage: Eukaryota; Metazoa; Chordata; Mammalia; Didelphimorphia; Didelphidae. The record is from RNAcentral.
GGCCAAAGAAAGCCGGCAGUAGUUGCUGGUAUCAGGUUUCUUCCCUGAUUAAAACCUAGCUGCCUUGAGCAGUUCUUAACCCUUUUCUUGCAACUUCUUGGUGUCAGUAAUAGAAAAUCAGCCUGCUUGUCAAACAGUUGCUUAAGGUUUUAUGGUCCUUACAAGUACAUUCCAAGAAAUGAGAUCUUAGGAUAAGCUCCUAGGAUCAGGGCAGUUUAUGUGUCCAUGUCUCUGUUGUUUGUCUUCUGGCUUUUGCUGUUUGUCUCAUGUGUCUUUCUGUAUUUGGACUCAGUAUUUGCCCCAGUACCCUUCUAUCUUGGGGGCUGACUCUUCUCCUUGUGACUGGUCUGUCAAUCGGGGGAAACAGUGGCUGGACACCCUGCAGAUCUCCAAGCAGUUCUCCACCAACCUGGGACCCUGGAAUUCACUGAAGAUGUGCCCCUAAAGACACUGUGUCUGCAGCCUUUCCCUCCUCCUCUUAUCCCCCUCUCCCUCUCUCCUGACCAUAGGACAGCACUAUAUCCAUUCUCAGCACUGAAGAAACUACAGAAGAUUUGGACCUCUGCCCUUUUCCCCUUAGAUCCUUGGAGAGAGGAGGGGAUGGGAUGGCAGGGGACACUGAACCAGGUGGGGCCUGAGAUUCUGGCCCUCCAGGAGGCUGUGUGGUUCCCCUAUGGAUGGCUGGGCCUGCUAGAUGGCAAGACUCACCAGAAGCAGUGGGAAGUCAGCUAGCAAAAGGAAUACAUGACCCACUCGCUUCCAUUACUUCACUUUCUCCCCCACCCCUUGGUUUCCCCCUCCCUUGUCACAGAGUAUCCCUCAACCAGGGAAAACCUUAUCCCACUCACAGGAGCACACUGGCUAUGCUCCCGUUCUGGCCUACAGCCCUGUGUCUCCCCUAGCUCCCUCACUGUCCACUGCACUCCCUCACAAUAGUACCCCAAGUGACCUACUAUGCCAAGCAGGACCUCCUCUUUCUUAAGGAGGCGGCCUCUGUGAAGCCUUGGGUGAGGAAUGCUACUUCUAUGUUAACCACUCAGGGAUUAUUAGGGACUCCCUGAGCAAGCUACAAGAGGGUCUAGAAGCCCUGAUGGAGAGGGAAACUGCCGGCCCCUGGUACACCCACCUUUUCAAUUCUUCUCCCUAGUCACUUCCCUUAUAGGACCCCUCAUAAUCUUAACCCUACUCUUGACAUUUGUCCCCUGCGUUUUUAACCACCUUAUUUGGUUCUUGAAAGACUGGCUGGAUGCCAUCCAGGAUUUGGCUCUCCAGAAACAGUACUGACCCCUAGCGAGCCCUGGGCUGAAAGCCACAAGCUGCCUCAGUAGGCAGGUUUUCCCUCUGCCCCCUAAGAGCAAAAGAAAUUGGAAAUGAGGGAGAUCUAAAUUGAAAAUUGCCUUGAGAAAUUCAGCCAGGAAAAAUGCCAAGGCCCUGCUACAGACAGAUAAACUUCAAACCUAGCGAAGGCCCCACUACAGACAGAUAAGCUUCAGACCUUGUGCUGGGACCUGUCCAAGGUCCCUGAUAAAAUUCAGCACUGAGACCCCAGGUGAACAAAGCAACUUUCCAACAAGGGCAUGCAACAGGGGAACUAUUCAUGUUAAAAAGUAUUUAAGACUGAAUCUUCAAGAGGGAAAUUGGAACUCUGAUGGCAGAGGUUCCCACUGAUGCUCAUAUCAGUUCCACAAUAAAGGGUCUUUUCCGUGUCUGAUUGUACUGCCC